Molecule: ribosomal RNA, 251 nt
Filed under: uncultured prokaryote
Description: partial 16S ribosomal RNA
Rfam family: Bacterial small subunit ribosomal RNA
Source: RNAcentral
UACGGAGGAUUCAAGCGUUAUCCGGAUUUAUUGGGUUUAAAGGGUGCGCAGGUUGUUUGAUAAGUCAGUGGUGAAAGUCUGUCGCUUAACGGUAGGAUUGCCAUUGAUACUGUUAGACUUGAAUAUGGAUGAGGUAGGCGGAAUGUGUAGUGUAGCGGUGAAAUGCAUAGAUAUGACGCAGAACUCCGAUUGCGAAGGCAGCUUACUGGGAUGCAACUGACGCUGAGGCACGAAAGCGUGGGUAUCAAACA